Molecule: long non-coding RNA, 1108 nt
Organism: Chrysemys picta bellii (western painted turtle)
Lineage: Eukaryota; Metazoa; Chordata; Testudines; Emydidae
Source: RefSeq, a predicted model, not a curated record
UUUGGCCACCGGAAGCCUGCCGCUGUGUCACUCGAGAGCCACACUCAGCUUUGGACGGACACAUGCACCCCUCUGCCAGUCCCCUAUUGCCUCUGGCCUGAGUCUCCACGUCCAUCAAAGUGACCAUAACCUGGCAGCUUGAUUUCCGCUAUACCAUACAGACUCCAAGUGCAUCUGAAGACGUUGAGUGGUACCACAGGGGCAGUGUCCUGUGAUGGUCAGAGAGAGGAAAUGCUGGAUGUUUGCUACACUCUCCUUUUUCCACCUCCCAUGCUUCUCACCUAGGCACUUCUCAAAAGUAAGAAGCCGACACAGACUCCGGUACAGCAAGCAUAUUUAUUUACUGUGAAACACACUAUUCACCACCCAGUGCGAUGGAAAUUCAAAUGCGUAGCAGCAGCUGCUGGGGAUCAAGGGAGUCCUACACUUUCUCUUGAGAGUUUUGGCUAAUGAGAGUUUACCAACUAGCGACACACUUGCCAGUCCCCAGAGGCUGAAGGGCUGUGCUCAUCCCCAGAAUUGGCAUAAUACCAUUGCAAGCCCCCCACUGCAACCUGCUAACAUGUCUCAUCCCUGCUCUUGAGAGACUGUCACCCCCCCUUAGGGGGAAGUGGGACGCUCCCCACAGCUCAUUCACUCCUUUGGUGGCUCAUGUGAGGCUGCUAAGUUCUUCCAAACUAGUGACUUUGACACCUUACAGAGACCUGAUUUUCAGAGGGCAGGAGCUCAGCACUUCCUGACAAUCAGGCCACUUUAUGGCAUCUCCGGUGGGGCACCUAAAACCCCCGAGUUCCUUUUGGAGGCCUUGGCCAAGUCUGUCCAUCAGGGUCCAGCUGUGGUGUCAAUUCUAGCAGCGAGCAGGAGAGUUCUCAGUUCAAGCCCAGUUUCUCUCUCCCACACACAUUCUCAGGCAUCUAUUCCUAAACAUUCUCCUACUCGCUGGCUCUGCUAUGAGAUAGGGUCUUUGGGGCCGAGCUCAGGGGAGAAGGUCUCAGGUCAUUCCUUAACGAACAAAUACAUUAUUUUGCUAAGAAAACAGAUUAUUUCUCCUCUAGGUGAAGCCAGAUAUCACUGUGAGCGCCUCUCUUUGGUGAGAGACUGAACGCUG